GACGAACGCUGGCGGCGUGCUUAACACAUGCAAGUCGAACGGAAAGGCCCUGCUUUUGUGGGGUGCUCGAGUGGCGAACGGGUGAGUAACACGUGAGUAACCUGCCCUUGACUUUGGGAUAACUUCAGGAAACUGGGGCUAAUACCGGGUAGGAACUCCUGCUGCAUGGUGGGGGUUGGAAAGUUUCGGCGGUUGGGGAUGGACUCGCGGCUUAUCAGCUUGUUGGUGGGGUAGUGGCUUACCAAGGCUUUGACGGGUAGCCGGCCUGAGAGGGUGACCGGCCACAUUGGGACUGAGAUACGGCCCAGACUCCUACGGGAGGCAGCAGUGGGGAAUAUUGCACAAUGGGCGGAAGCCUGAUGCAGCAACGCCGCGUGCGGGAUGACGGCCUUCGGGUUGUAAACCGCUUUCGCCUGUGACGAAGCGUGAGUGACGGUAAUGUAUAAAGAAGCACCGGCUAACUACGUG
This 468-nucleotide ribosomal RNA is filed under the name uncultured bacterium. RNAcentral describes it as "partial 16S ribosomal RNA". It matches the Rfam family "Bacterial small subunit ribosomal RNA", at positions 28 to 507 of the family's 1533-position model. The record is from RNAcentral.